Molecule: ribosomal RNA, 207 nt
Filed under: uncultured bacterium
Lineage: Bacteria
Description: partial 16S ribosomal RNA
Rfam family: Bacterial small subunit ribosomal RNA
Source: RNAcentral
CGUGUAGGUGGUACUGUAAGUAGGGCGUGAAAGCUCCUGGCUCAACUGGGAGAGGCCGUCCUAAACUACAGAACUAGAGGAUGGUAGAGGGAGGUGGAAUUCCAGGUGUAGCGGUGGAAUGCGCAGAUAUCUGGAGGAACACCGGUGGCGAAGGCGGCCUCCUGGACCAUUCCUGACACUCAGACGCGAAAGCUAGGGUAGCAAACG